GUAAACACUGCCUUUUCUCUGGAAAGACAGGGAUUAAAAUUAAAAUGCCUGCAGGGACAAGCUAUAGACACCAGAACUACAUUGAGCUGUACAGAGGCGGCUCUCUAAUUAGGCGGAUUAGGUGGCCGCCUAAGGCCUCGCGCUGACUGUGUCAGGCCCGUUAUGCCGCCGGGUGCGAGGCCCCUCCUGGCUGCCCGGCCACUAUCGCAGGCACAGGUCUGCAGCUCCGCAGUG
This is a non-coding RNA of Pelobates cultripes (western spadefoot toad), 234 nucleotides long. NCBI's taxonomy places the organism in Eukaryota, Metazoa, Chordata, Amphibia, Anura, Pelobatidae. The record is from the annotation of a GenBank genome assembly.